RNAcentral lists this long non-coding RNA (1189 nucleotides) under Phoenix dactylifera (date palm). RNAcentral describes it as "long non-coding RNA (PDAC_LNC014968)". Lineage: Eukaryota; Viridiplantae; Streptophyta; Magnoliopsida; Arecales; Arecaceae. The record is from RNAcentral.
CACAAAAUUAUACUACUUCCCAUCCAUACUAUUAAUAAAAGCUUCCAUAAUUUCAGUUUCUAAGGCAUCAGCCGUCCCGAACAACAAACUUCAAACCUAAUACCUACUCCGCUAAAUUCCGACAGACCGGUUAGGGGUAAAGAAUCCAUGCCCCAUCUUGGUUUUGGAUAUACUUUUAAGGGCGCGACAUACAAAGUUUGAUCCUUCCCUUCAUGUUCAAGGAUAAUUGGCUGAAUUAUUUGAUGAGCUUAGAAGCAUCAGUCCCCCAGUUUCAUCUCUUUUGCUUGCUUUCCAAGAAUGGAAUUAGAAAAGAAAGCGAUUGCAAACGCCAAGUAGUUGUUAACAUCAUUACCAUAAGAGACACCCAGAGAAGCGCCCACACAGGCCUUCACCAUUAAGAAGCAAAAUUACAAUGUGCUAUACCCGAGCGCGUAAAGCUCUAGAAGUAGCAAGAUCACUCGGUGACCGUUGAUGUAGAAGACGGUUUACUCAAGGUUUCCUUCAAAACAAUUCGAGACUCGGAACAAAACAAAAUAGGCCAUGAGACCAAGUGGGUUUAUGAAAAGCCGAGAAAUUCACAUAAAAAUUGAUUUAUGAGAAAGUUCGAUAAUGACUACCCCAAUAUGAAGUUUCCCUGAGGGCUCGUUUGGUUCGCAGGAAAAGGAGGGAGGAAAGUAUGGUCAACGAAAAAGUAAUGAAAUGCCUUUUGUUUGGUUGGAGUUUUCAAAAGAGAGAUGAAAAAGUUGUAUUCCCAUAGAAUUAUAAUUCUCACAUUUCAUGAAAAAGUCUUUCCCAUGAGAAACAUCGAAAAGUUACUUUUCCAUGAGGUGUAGAUCACUCCUUUUUUAUUUUUUCCCAAAAAGACCCUUCAGCAUUAAAAAAAGCAUUAAAUAGGUAUUAAAGACCUAAUUUUUAUUGAGGACAUAAUAAGAAUUAUACAUAACUUUCCUAGGAAAGUGGAUGGUCAACCAAACAUAAGCACUUUGGAAAUUUGUCACUUUCCCAUGGUUAACCAAACAUGCCAAAAAUACUUUCCUAAGUAUCCUCUUCCUAGAAAUCUGAUUCUUAGGAAUCAUAUUCCUAAGAAGGAAAAUACUUCCCGCGAACCAAACGAGCCCUGAAAGAUCGCCAGAAUCGACAACCCCUUGCUCCAUCCAAUUGGAGUCAAAAGGGGGAAGAACCUCUCCUC